RNAcentral lists this small RNA (2112 nucleotides) under Pan troglodytes (chimpanzee). Its description in RNAcentral is "retained intron". Lineage: Eukaryota; Metazoa; Chordata; Mammalia; Primates; Hominidae. The record is from RNAcentral.
AGUGUCCUGGUUCCUGCAGCGGCAGCAACAGCAGGUCCUACUAUCGCCUCCCUCUAGUCUCUGCUUCUCUGGAUCCCUGAGGAGGGCAGAAGGAAGAAAACAGCCCAAAGAUGAGAGUGAUUCGCGUGGGUACCCGCAAGAGCCAGCUUGCUCGCAUACAGACGGACAGUGUGGUGACAACAUUGAAAGCCUCAUACCCUGGCCUGCAGUUUGAAAUCAUUGCUAUGUCCACCACAGGGGACAAGAUUCUUGAUACUGCACUCUCUAAGAUUGGAGAGAAAAGCCUGUUUACCAAGGAGCUUGAACAUGCCCUGGAGAAGAAUGAAGUGGACCUGGUUGUUCACUCCUUGAAGGACCUGCCCACUGUGCUUCCUCCUGGCUUCACCAUCGGAGCCAUCUGCAAGUAAGAGUCUUGCAAGUAAGGGGCUUGGGCAGGGGUAGGCAUCAUGUGAACCUUUGCCUUUCCCUUUGGGACCUGACCCUCUGCUUCAGGGUUAUCUCCUCUGCCCUGAGGAGUGUUGACUGGUGGCAGAAAACUCAAGAAAUACCAGUGAGUUGGCAAUCGAGAGAGAAUAGAGGUGAUCUGAACUUAAAUCUCUUCCCUCAUUCUGUGCCCUUCCCUCCUCCCCCAGGCGGGAAAACCCUCAUGAUGCUGUUGUCUUUCACCCAAAAUUUGUUGGGAAGACCCUAGAAACCCUGCCAGAGAAGAGUGUGGUGGGAACCAGCUCCCUGCGAAGAGCAGCCCAGCUGCAGAGAAAGUUCCCGCAUCUGGAGUUCAGGAGUAUUCGGGGAAACCUCAACACCCGGCUUCGGAAGCUGGACGAGCAGCAGGAGUUCAGUGCCAUCAUCCUGGCAACAGCUGGCCUACAGCGCAUGGGCUGGCACAACCGGGUGGGGCAGAUCCUGCACCCUGAGGAAUGCAUGUAUGCUGUGGGCCAGGUACACUUGACCAGGGAAGCCACAUGGUGACAUAUGCCUUCCCUUUGUUCUCAACCAAGAAGCUUGUCUCACAACCUUCUGCAUCUGCUUCCCCAGAAUAGCAUUCUCAGGGAGGGGCAGGCCUUGGGAUGCUACCGGUCCAAAAGGCGCUGGGGAGCAAGUAGAUAGAGGUGGUCCCAUGCUUUGCGCCAUUGGUUGGGGAAAGAUCAGGCCUGAUGUCCUAGGAUGUUUUUCCAUCAGGGAGCCUUGGGCGUGGAAGUCCGAGCCAAGGACCAGGACAUCUUGGAUCUGGUGGGUGUGCUGCACGAUCCUGAGACUCUGCUUCGCUGCAUCGCUGAAAGGGCCUUCCUGAGGCACCUGGUAGGGCCUGUGCUCCACCUGUGGAGGGCUGGGGACUUGGAGAGCUGGGAAAGGCGGUAGGGAAGAUUUCUCACAUGAAUGCUCUGUAUACAGUGCUAACUCAUUCUUGUUGAAUGUUGUGUAUGGAUAGGACCAGGUCUGGGCCCACAGUUGCCUUUUCAGUGAUGUCCUCAGGUCUGUGGUCACAGGGUGGUGUUAAGAGCCCUUGCAGCUCACAAGAACUUCUUGUUACAGGAAGGAGGCUGCAGUGUGCCAGUAGCCGUGCAUACAGCUAUGAAGGAUGGGCAACUGUACCUGACUGGAGGAGUCUGGAGUCUAGACGGCUCAGAUAGCAUACAAGAGACCAUGCAGGCUACCAUCCAUGUCCCUGCCCAGCAUGAAGAUGGCCCUGAGGAUGACCCACAGUUGGUAGGCAUCACUGCUCGUAACAUUCCACGAGGGCCCCAGUUGGCUGCCCAGAACUUGGGCAUCAGCCUGGCCAACUUGUUGCUGAGCAAAGGAGCCAAAAACAUCCUGGAUGUUGCACGGCAGCUUAACGAUGCCCAUUAACUGGUUUGUGGGGCACAGAUGCCUGGGUUGCUGCUGUCCAGUGCCUACAUCCCGGGCCUCAGUGCCCCAUUCUCACUGCUAUCUGGGGACUGAUUACCCCAGGAGACUGAACUGCAGGGUUCAAGCCUUCCAGGGAUUUGCCUCACCUUGGGGCCUUGAUGACUGCCUUGCCUCCUCAGUAUGUGGGGGCUUCAUCUCUUUAGAGAAGUCCAAGCAACAGCCUUUGAAUGUAACCAACCCUACUAAUAAACCAGUUCUGAAGGU